GGGGAGGGCUAGGUCAGGAGAGGGUGGGUGGCGGCUGGAACGGCAGGAGGAGUGGGUGGUGGCGGCUGGAGCAGGGAGGGAGGGGAGAGGCGUAGAAGGCCGGUUGAGAUGCGGGCUCCUCUAGCUCGCUCGCGGGCUCACGCGGGCAGGAGCGUCGGAGGAGGGUGCUAAGGGGCGCGGGCUCGGGGUGCUCUCCUCGAGGAGGACACAAAAACGUGCGGCGGCGGCCGCUGGUGGUCGGUGUCGAACGGCCUCGGUCGUCUACUCACGGUGGGAAGAAGAGAUAAGAGAAGAAGGGCACGAGAGAAAGAAGGAGGAAAGAGAGAGAGUGUGUAGAGUUAAAGAGAGAGACAGAGUUUGUCACGUGAAGCGGCGGUACCUGCGAGCACAGGGGCUGGAACGUCGCGCGGCGGGGCUACGCUUCAGGGAGGACCAGCAAGGACGCGGCGACCCGGCUUCGGAGCGGGUUCAGGUUCGCGGCGGGUGCAAACGGAGGAGCGGUACCGGAGGGGACGAAGCAGACGAAGCGCCUGUCUCGAGGCAGAGGCAGUUGCACAGGAGGGCGGCAGAGACAAGCGACAGCCCGAGUUAGCUGAGGUCGUCGUGGGGGUGCCACAGCGAGGCGAGCCGUGGGCUCACAGAGAGGUCGAACGUCAUCGUCGAGAGAAGAGGUCACGCGGGUGGUCGGUCCGGCAAGCAGAGGUCGAGAGGCGAGACCGAGACAUAACGCAACAAGUAAGUUAGUCCCUAGAUAAGGUUCCAGAGCCCAGGCGGGAGAGGUACCUCUUUCCUCUAUAGAUAAGUAAAACGUAAAACUUGUACGAUCGUUUAUACGUCCUCAUUUGUUCAAGAACAUCAUCUAUAACAUUCACAAACAAGACUUUUACAUGACAGUGGCUUCUAUAACGCUCACCAGACUGUUCUAUAAGAGUUAAACGUUCAAAUCAAUGAAAAGGUCAAUUAAUUGACCUGUAGAACCUCAUCAAUCUUUUAGUACUUAAUAAACGUCUUUAAGCAUCUUCAUAACAUGAGGUCACACGUAAUGAAUGUAUUUGAACGAACGUUCGAAUAAAAGACUGAAAGUAUAAGACUUUGACUUUUUCGAAUCAAUUUAAGAUAAUUCAAAGUCAUUAUAAGUCACCUCACCUCACAAAUGACAUUUAAAACUUGUAGUGUCAUUAAAGGGAACGACAAUUGACAACAUCGUAAUCCUCAUCAAAAUAACGUCAUGACGAACUUGAUGAGGUUCGUAAACCUCAUAACAUUUCGCUCAUUUACCUCCCGCUCCUUAAAAAUGACGUUACAUCCUAACGUGUCCCUCAACAAUCAUCAUCUACAACUACUAGUAUAGUCCUCUACCUCCCACUAUGUGUCGGUACAUCUCCUCGUCGUCGAGUUCCAGGAAAGAGGAGGUGCGGUGGAGACGGGGAGAGAGCAAAACUAAACGAUACAACCCAAGGUUCUAAUCUUUAUAAAAAACAAAGGUAGAAAUAGGUACACGAUAGUAAUUGAGACUCUUUUACAAUACAAAAACGACUAAUCACCGUCAUGUAGAAACGAAAUGAUAAGGAUCGUCGACGUCAAGUAGAUGGUAUUUGUACAACACAUGUAAGACUUGGGGGUUUGUACUGUGUUCACUAUACAUAUACGUCGUCCCUUAGCAGUUGAACAUAUCAAACAAAUGACCUUACAUUGAACAUGUUAAAAAUGAACUUAUACAAGUCAAUACUUCAGCACAUCAACAAAAAAGAGUAGUCAAGAUUUAACGUCAUGUAAUGACUUAACAACUACUACGACUUACUUAGAUCGAACAACCCAAAUCAGAGAACAAAUCUACCUUAUCGUGGGGUAGUGGACAACAACAACAAUAAGUGGGAUAGGAACGACAAGACAAAAGAACAACCGUCUAUAAAACUCAUUUAAGUUCUGCUUUCUACAAGUUUCUUCGAGGUUCUGUAAGAAUAUAUCGUUCAAUACAUUAUUAUCGACCCAAUAGACCCUUAAAUUACAUAGAAGAGAGACAAACACUUACUUUAUCAUUAAUACAUACACUUAAUUACAUAGAAGAGAGACAAACACUUAAAGUACAUACAAAGUCUUAAUGUUAAAGACAAAGUAUACUUGAUCAUUAAUACAUACAC
Molecule: ribosomal RNA, 2141 nt
Filed under: Triticum aestivum (bread wheat)
Lineage: Eukaryota; Viridiplantae; Streptophyta; Magnoliopsida; Poales; Poaceae
Description: partial small subunit ribosomal RNA
Source: RNAcentral